GAUGAAGAACGCAGCGAAAUGCGAUAAGUAAUGUGAAUUGCAGAAUUCAGUGAAUCAUCGAAUCUUUGAACGCACAUUGCGCCCCCUGGCAUUCCGGGGGGCAUGCCUGUUCGAGCGUCAUUUCACCACUCAAGCCUCGCUUGGUAUUGGGCAACGCGGUCCGCCGCGUGCCUCAAAUCGACCGGCUGGGUCUUCUGUCCCCUAAGCGUUGUGGAAACUAUUCGCUAAAGGGUGUUCGGGAGGCUACGCCGUAAAACAACCCCAUUUCUAAGGUUGACCUCGGAUCAGGUAGGGAUACCCGCUGAACUUAAGCAUAUCAAUAAGCGGAGGA
Molecule: unclassified non-coding RNA, 331 nt
Filed under: soil metagenome
Description: partial contains 5.8S ribosomal RNA, internal transcribed spacer 2, and large subunit ribosomal RNA
Rfam family: 5.8S ribosomal RNA (bases 1-120)
Source: RNAcentral